This 576-nucleotide ribosomal RNA is filed under the name uncultured eukaryote. RNAcentral describes it as "bacterial SSU rRNA". It matches the Rfam family "Eukaryotic small subunit ribosomal RNA", at positions 203 to 762 of the family's 1831-position model. The record is from RNAcentral.
AACCAAUCGACUUUUUAUUAAGUCGUAAUAAAUUGAUGAAUUCUGAGUAACUACUUUAUUAGCGAACCGCAUGAUCUCGUAUCGGCGGUCUGUCGGUCAAGCAACUGCCUUAUCAGCUUGUCAUUAGGUUACAUGCCUAACGAGGCGUCAACGGGUAACGAACGAUUGGGGUCUGACAUCGGAGAGGGAGCCUGAGAAACGGCUACCACAUCUAAGGAAGGCAGCAGGCGCGCAAAUUACCCACUCCCGGCACGGGGAGGUAGUGACGAGAAAUAACGACGCGGGGCCCUCAUGGGCACUCGUAAUCGGAAUGAGUACACUUUAAAUCCUUUAACGAGGAUCUAUUGGAGGGCAAGUCUGGUGCCAGCAGCCGCGGUAAUUCCAGCUCCAAUAGCGUAUAUUAAUGCUGCUGCGGUUAAAAAGCUCGUAGUUGGAUCUGGGUCUACGGCGAGCAGCCACAUAGUAUUGAAUGCUAUGUGUGAUUUGCUAGACGCGUCGUAAAAGUGCGUUAUACUCACAGUGUAUCGUACUGACGUAGCCCGUGCGUGUUUGUAUUGGUAUAUUCUCAUCUUUAUA